RNAcentral lists this ribosomal RNA (213 nucleotides) under uncultured bacterium. Its description in RNAcentral is "partial 16S ribosomal RNA". It matches the Rfam family "Bacterial small subunit ribosomal RNA", at positions 524 to 735 of the family's 1533-position model. The record is from RNAcentral.
UACGUAGGGUCCGAGCGUUUGUCCGGAAUUACUGGGCGUAAAGAGCUCGUAGGUGGUUUGUCACGUUGUUCGUGAAAACCCACAGCUCAACUGUGGGCGUGCGAGCGAUACGGGCGGACUUGAGUACUGCAGGGGAGACUGGAAUUCCUGGUGUAGCGGUGGAAUGCGCGGAUAUCAGGAGGAACACCGGUGGCGAAGGCGGGUCUCUGGGCC